Molecule: non-coding RNA, 146 nt
Filed under: Protocruzia adhaerens
Lineage: Eukaryota; Ciliophora; Spirotrichea
Source: RNAcentral
UCAGACUUCCGUGCUCCUGGCUGUCAAGUUAAAUCAAAUCGUUGAGUUCUGGUGCCUCAAACGUCAUUCAUGUAUUGGUAUUUAUAACCAUCAGGCUCUUGAAGGUGGAAAAUCUUCCAAAUUUGUCCGAGAAACAACUGAUCAAG